This 440-nucleotide ribosomal RNA is filed under the name uncultured bacterium. RNAcentral describes it as "partial 16S ribosomal RNA". It matches the Rfam family "Bacterial small subunit ribosomal RNA", at positions 338 to 795 of the family's 1533-position model. The record is from RNAcentral.
CCUACGGGAGGCUGCAGUGGGGGAUAUUGCACAAUGGGGGAAACCCUGAUGCAGCGACGCCGCGUGAGGGAAGACGGUUUUCGGAUUGUAAACCUCUGUCUUUGGGGACGAAUUGAGACGGUACCCAAGGAGGAAGCUCCGGCUAACUACGUGCCAGCAGCCGCGGUAAUACGUAGGGAGCAAGCGUUGUCCGGAAUUACUGGGUGUAAAGGGAGCGUAGGCGGGGAUGCAAGUUGGGUGUCAAAACUACCGGCUCAACCGAUAGUCGCACUCAAAACUGCAGCUCUUGAGUGAAGUAGAGGCAGGCGGAAUUCCUAGUGUAGCGGUGAAAUGCGUAGAUAUUAGGAGGAACACCAGUGGCGAAGGCGGCCUGCUGGGCUUUUACUGACGCUGAGGCUCGAAAGUGUGGGGAGCAAACAGGAUUAGAUACCCCAGUAGUC